AAGGAAUAUUGGUCAAUGGACGCACGUCUGAACCAGCCAUGCCGCGUGAAGGAUGAAGGUCCUCUGGAUUGUAAACUUCUUUUAUCUGGGACGAAAACGGGAUUUUUAUCUCAAUUGACGGUACCAGAGGAAUAAGCACCGGCUAACUCCGUGCCAGCAGCCGCGGUAAUACGGAGGGUGCGAGCGUUAUCCGGAUUUACUGGGUUUAAAGGGUGCGUAGGUGGGCUUAUAAGUCAGUGGUGAAAUCUCCGAGCUUAACUUGGAAACUGCCGUUGAUACUAUAGGUCUUGAAUUAUCUGGAGGUAAGCGGAAUAUGUCAUGUAGCGGUGAAAUGCUUAGAUAUGACAUAGAACACCAAUUGCGAAGGCAGCUUACUACAUAUAAAUUGACGCUGAGGCACGAAAGCGUGGGGAUCAAACA
RNAcentral lists this ribosomal RNA (420 nucleotides) under uncultured bacterium. RNAcentral's name for it is "bacterial SSU rRNA". It matches the Rfam family "Bacterial small subunit ribosomal RNA", at positions 356 to 774 of the family's 1533-position model. The record is from RNAcentral.